This 253-nucleotide ribosomal RNA is filed under the name uncultured bacterium. Its description in RNAcentral is "partial 16S ribosomal RNA". It matches the Rfam family "Bacterial small subunit ribosomal RNA", at positions 524 to 776 of the family's 1533-position model. The record is from RNAcentral.
UACGGAGGGGGCGAGCGUUGUCCGAAGUUACUGGGCGUAAAGCGCGCGUAGGCGGCUUUGCAAGUCGAGUGUGAAAUCCCCAGGCUUAACCUGGGAACUGCAUUCGAGACUGCAUAGCUAGAGUAUGGGAGAGGGAAGUGGAAUUUCAGGUGUAGCGGUGAAAUGCGUAGAUAUCUGAAGGAACAUCAGUGGCGAAAGCGACUUCCUGGACCAAUACUGACGCUCAUGUGCGAAAGCGUGGGGAGCAAACAGG